GGGGCAGCGGCCAGCAUCCACCGAGAUCGGCAUCCCGCAGGUCACGCCCGUGAUCGCCCCACCUCGCUUGUAAAGCGGGGGUCGUCGGUUCGAACCCGACAGGAGGCUCCA
RNAcentral lists this transfer RNA (111 nucleotides) under Streptomyces sp. ISL-1. Its description in RNAcentral is "tRNA-Tyr". Lineage: Bacteria; Bacillati; Actinomycetota; Actinomycetes; Kitasatosporales; Streptomycetaceae. RNAcentral also lists the same sequence under 1 other name. The record is from RNAcentral.